GAGAUAGAGUCCAAGACUUGAACCCUGGGCUAACUGUGAGGGUUUUUUGCAAGCGACAUUUGUUAUUUACAAAGCGCAACUCUCUUUCUCUCUAAAGUUUUCGUCUUCUUACAAGGUUUCUCCAUCAGACUUUGGUUGGCAAGGGUCAACAAAAUGGGUCAGCUGCAAUGGAGGGAAUAGUGUGACCUUCUUUUUUGCCUCCAAAAAGAAAAGAAAAGAAAAAAAAUUAGUGUCACAAAAAC
This 242-nucleotide unclassified non-coding RNA is filed under the name Hevea brasiliensis (rubber tree). The record is from RNAcentral. Lineage: Eukaryota; Viridiplantae; Streptophyta; Magnoliopsida; Malpighiales; Euphorbiaceae.